Long non-coding RNA from Columba livia (rock pigeon), 687 nucleotides. RefSeq lists it as uncharacterized. The transcript has 3 exons. The record is from RefSeq and is a predicted model, not a curated record. NCBI's taxonomy places the organism in Eukaryota, Metazoa, Chordata, Aves, Columbiformes, Columbidae.
CAUGGGGCCGAUGCGGUGCCCAGGGCCGAUGCCAGGAGCUGAGCCAUCGCAUCGCGCGGCACAGCCAGCCCAGUGCAGCCCCGGCACUGCCGAUGCCGCCUGCACGGCAGCUCGCAGCCUGCCCGCUGCUCGGGAGGAUUUGUGCUGCGUGGCUGAGUUUGGUGUCAUUUUGCUCCCCCCCAUCCCUUCUUCCUUCCUCUUUCCUCCCCCUUCCCCUUGUCUGGCAGGGACACAGCAGGGCCGGAUCCGGACCCUUCUGCAGGUGCCCCAGGACUUUCGGUGGCAGGGCACCCUUGCGGAAUGGAAUGGGUGCUGGACCCCCGAGGUGCUGCUGGACCCCCCCUUGCUGGGUGAGGGCAGCUGCUCUGCCGUACCAAAUCGCACCACCCAAGCCGGAGACCCAGCGCCCACCAGCUCCCCACCGCCGGCACGGCAAAUCCCCCUUGGUCAUGGCAUCCUGUGAAUGCUGCGCUUCGGCAUCCUGCAGACAGGUCUGUCUGCCGGAGAUGAAUUCGGCUGCACCGCUGCCAGGCUCUGCCCUCUAAGUCAUCUCCCGCCAGCAGCAGACAGCUCGGUAAUGAAGCGUAAUGCUCCGGCACUCCCCUGAGUGACAGUGGCCAGCACCGGCUGCGUCCCGGCGCUCGGCACGGCCUCCCCUGCCUGCCGGGGGACAAAAAGAAGGGAAAA